UCUUUGAUGCCAUUUUAUUUCUACCUUCUCAGGACCAAGUGGCACCUGUGCAACAGUAAGUGUUGUGUACAUUUUUGUAACAAACACAUAGGCAAAACACUUAUAGGAAAUCUAUAUUCUUGGCAGACAAUCAAUAAUUGUUAUAGAGGACGAGGUUGGAGCAGCAGCAGGUGUGAUAAAUACUCAGUGUGAGGUCCAAGAGCAGAACCCUGUACUUGAGGUAGAAGUUGUCAGGACACCUGAUGUUGUUCUAAAUGCUCAGAGGCACACCCAGGAGCAGGUGAUGGUGGAGGUGGCUGAACUGGACGAGAACACAGAAAAUGAAGGGACAAGCGAGU
This is a long non-coding RNA of Melanotaenia boesemani (Boeseman's rainbowfish), 338 nucleotides long. RefSeq lists it as uncharacterized. Lineage: Eukaryota; Metazoa; Chordata; Actinopteri; Atheriniformes; Melanotaeniidae. The transcript has 3 exons. The record is from RefSeq and is a predicted model, not a curated record.